RNAcentral lists this ribosomal RNA (424 nucleotides) under Encephalitozoon hellem. Its description in RNAcentral is "SSU rRNA". It matches the Rfam family "Microsporidia small subunit ribosomal RNA", at positions 870 to 1311 of the family's 1311-position model. The record is from RNAcentral. Lineage: Eukaryota; Fungi; Microsporidia; Unikaryonidae.
GAGAGUGUUUUUACAUGAUGCUUACGGCGGUGGUGCAUGGCCGUUUUAAAUGGAUGGCGUGAGCUUUGGAUUAAGUNACGUAAGAUGUGAGACCCUUUUUGACUGUGCUNUAUGGGGCAAGGGAGGAAUGGAACAGAACAGGUCCGUUAUGCCCUGAGAUGAAGCGGGCGGCACGCGCACUACGAUAGAUGCCUAUGUGGGCUACUGUGAGGGAUGAAGCUGUGUAAUGGGCUUCUGAACGUGGAAUUCCUAGUAAGAAUGAUUGAACAAGUUAUUUUGAAUGUGUCCCUGUCCUUUGUACACACCGCCCGUCGCUAUCUAAGAUGACGCAGUGGCACGAAGAUUGAGAGGUCUGAGUCUUUCGUGUUAGAUAAGAUAUAAGUCGUAACAUGGCUGCUGUUGAGAACCAGCAGCAGGAUCAGUA